Molecule: transfer RNA, 73 nt
Filed under: Stegodyphus mimosarum
Lineage: Eukaryota; Metazoa; Arthropoda; Arachnida; Araneae; Eresidae
Rfam family: tRNA
About the family: Transfer RNA (tRNA) molecules are approximately 80 nucleotides in length.
Source: Rfam by way of RNAcentral
GCCAUCGUGGUGUAGUGGUCAGCACACUCGGCGCGUAUUCGAGAGGUCAGUGGUUCGAGUCCCGGCGAGGACA